Molecule: ribosomal RNA, 532 nt
Filed under: Phoma sp. NBt8L
Lineage: Eukaryota; Fungi; Ascomycota; Dothideomycetes; Pleosporales; Didymellaceae
Description: eukaryotic LSU rRNA
Rfam family: 5.8S ribosomal RNA (bases 174-327)
Source: RNAcentral
CUUCCGUAGGGUAACCUGCGGAAGGAUCAUUACCUAGAGUUGUAGGCUUUGCCUGCUAUCUCUUACCCAUGUCUUUUGAGUACCUUACGUUUCCUCGGUGGGUUCGCCCACCGAUUGGACAAAUUUAAACCCUUUGCAGUUGAAAUCAGCGUCUGAAAAAACUUAAUAGUUACAACUUUCAACAACGGAUCUCUUGGUUCUGGCAUCGAUGAAGAACGCAGCGAAAUGCGAUAAGUAGUGUGAAUUGCAGAAUUCAGUGAAUCAUCGAAUCUUUGAACGCACAUUGCGCCCCUUGGUAUUCCAUGGGGCAUGCCUGUUCGAGCGUCAUUUGUACCUUCAAGCUCUGCUUGGUGUUGGGUGUUUGUCUCCUGUAGACUCGCCUUAAAACAAUUGGCAGCCGGCGUAUUGAUUUCGGAGCGCAGUACAUCUCGCGCUUUGCACUCAUAACGACGACAUCCAAAAGUACAUUUUUACACUCUUGACCUCGGAUCAGGUAGGGAUACCCGCUGAACUUAAGCAUAUCAAUAAGCGG